UUUUUUAGGGUAAACUUUAAAUACCACCCAUGUGGUUUCGUAUUUUCUCAUUUCAGUAUCAUGUGAUUUAAAGUGUAUCAAUUUAGUAUCCUGUGAUUUUAUUUUUCUCUUUUUUGUCGGUCUCUCCAUUAACAUUUUAUUAAAUCAUAUACAAAAAAAUCUUUAGAUACCUUAUUUAUAGUUUAUUGAAUAUUCAAUUUAGUUUCUUUUAGUUUUAACUUUAUCACUGAUUUAACGAAAAAAAUUAGUGGAGAGGAUAACAAAAAAAAAAGAAUAAAACUAUAAGGUACGAAAGUAAUAUACAUUAAAUCACAGAGUACUAAAGCAUUAAAGUGCGAAACUACAGGAAUGGCAUUUGAAGUUUGUCUAAUUUUUUACUUCACGUUGCCUAAUUUUUUAUUACCACC
RNAcentral lists this long non-coding RNA (407 nucleotides) under Ananas comosus (pineapple). RNAcentral describes it as "long non-coding RNA (ACOM_LNC020783)". Lineage: Eukaryota; Viridiplantae; Streptophyta; Magnoliopsida; Poales; Bromeliaceae. The record is from RNAcentral.